GAUGAACGCUGGCGGCGUGCUUAACACAUGCAAGUCGAACGGAAAGGCUCCUGCUUGCAGGGGUACUCGAGUGGCGAACGGGUGAGUAACACGUGGGUGAUCUGCCCUGCACUUCGGGAUAAGCCUGGGAAACUGGGUCUAAUCCCGGAUAGGACGAUGGUUUGGAUGCCACUGUGGAAAGUUUUUUCGGUGUGGGAUGAGCUCGCGGCCUAUCAGCUUGUUGGUGGGGUAAUGGCCUACCAAGGCGUCGACGGGUAGCCGGCCUGAGAGGGUGUACGGCCACAUUGGGACUGAGAUACGGCCCAGACUCCUACGGGAGGCAGCAGUGGGGAAUAUUGCACAAUGGGCGCAAGCCUGAUGCAGCGACGCCGCGUGGGGGAUGACGGCCUUCGGGUUGUAAACUCCUUUCGCUGGACGAAGCGCAAGUGACGGUACCUGGAGAAGAAGCACCGGCUAACUACGUG
This 464-nucleotide ribosomal RNA is filed under the name uncultured bacterium. RNAcentral describes it as "partial 16S ribosomal RNA". It matches the Rfam family "Bacterial small subunit ribosomal RNA", at positions 28 to 507 of the family's 1533-position model. The record is from RNAcentral.